CGACCGGCGCACGGGUGAGUAACGCGUAUCCAACCUGCCCACCACUUGGGGAUAACCUUGCGAAAGUAAGACUAAUACCCAAUGACGUCUCUAGAAGACAUCUGAAAGGGAUUAAAGAUUUAUCGGUGAUGGAUGGGGAUGCGUCUGAUUAGCUUGUUGGCGGGGUAACGGCCCACCAAGGCGACGAUCAGUAGGGGUUCUGAGAGGAAGGUCCCCCACAUUGGAACUGAGACACGGUCCAAACUCCUACGGGAGGCAGCAGUGAGGAAUAUUGGUCAAUGGACGAGAGUCUGAACCAGCCAAGUAGCGUGCAGGAUGACGGCCCUAUGGGUUGUAAACUGCUUUUAUAAGGGAAUAAAGUGAGUCUCGUGAGACUUUUUGCAUGUACCUUAUGAAUAAGGACCGGCUAAUUCCGUGCCAGCAGCCGCGGUAAUACGGAAGGUCCGGGCGUUAUCCGGAUUUAUUGGGUUUAAAGGGAGCGUAGGCCGGAGAUUAAGCGUGUUGUGAAAUGUAGACGCUCAACGUCUGCACUGCAGCGCGAACUGGUUUCCUUGAGUACGCACAAAGUGGGCGGAAUUCGUGGUGUAGCGGUGAAAUGCUUAGAUAUCACGAAGAACUCCGAUUGCGAAGGCAGCUCA
RNAcentral lists this ribosomal RNA (638 nucleotides) under uncultured bacterium. Its description in RNAcentral is "bacterial SSU rRNA". It matches the Rfam family "Bacterial small subunit ribosomal RNA", at positions 92 to 728 of the family's 1533-position model. The record is from RNAcentral.